UCCCUUUCUCUAACUAAAUCCUCUUGUGUGUGUAUCUAUAUAUAAUUAUUUCUAUAUAUUAUUCCCUAACAAGACAACCCCAAGUCCUAAGUCCUCUGUUGUUGUUGGUGUGCUGGCAUUUUAGUUGGGUGCAUUAUCAAGUGCCUGAAACAUAAACACAAAACUGAAAUGGUGUGUCCUGAGGAAUCAUUUGGAGGCAAUGAGAGCUCUUUUGCUUACCUUCAUCCUAACCCUGUUGUGUUAGAGCUCACCCGAUUGCAGAACCAACUCAAAGGUACUUGAUACUGAAACAUGUUAAUGGAUUGUUAGAUCUGUAAGAAAAGGAAGAACAACACUAACAAUUUAUGUAAUACUACUUGUCAUGUUAUGUUACUUAAUAUUAUUCCAGAAAGGGACAGGGAGUUAGGAGCUGCCCAGGCUGAAAUCAAAGCUUUGAGAGCAACUGAAGCACUGAAGGAUAAGGCCAUACAUGAGGUACUGAAAUUAAGAAUAUAUGCUGUAGUUUGAGUACUGUAAUUAUUCUGAAACUAUUCAUUUCUUUUUCUUAUUUUCAGCUCCAGGGUGAAGUUCAAAAGUUGGAUGAGAAACAUAGGGUCGCUGAGAAUAUCCUUCAACAUAAGGUUAGGUCCUGGCCCCUAGUUCUGUACUUAUAAUGUUUAAGUAAUGGUGCUGAAUUAAUCCUAUGCCACGUAGAACCUCGAAAUCAAGAAACUGACGAAUGAGAAGAAAGAUGCAAUGGCUGCACAAUUUGCUGCAGAAGCAACUCUUAGAAGGGUGCAUGCAAACCAAAAGGAUGAUGAUGAUGUUUCUAUCGAAUCCGUCGUUGCUCCUCUUGAGGCAGAGAUAAAAAUGUAUAAGAAUGAGGUAGGCACAGGGUUGUGGCCUUGUUUUCUGCUUUGUUGCUCCUACUAGACUAACACUCUACUUACAGAUUGCAAUGCUACAUGAGGAUAAGAGGGCGUUGGAACGUCUUACUAAGUCGAAAGAGUUGGCUCUGCUCGAAGCAGAGAAGAUUUUGCGAAGUGCUUUAGAAAGGGCUUUAAUAGUUGAGGAGGUUCAAAACCAGAACUUUGAGUUAAGGAGACAGAUUGAGAUUUGUCAGGCAAGUUUGAGGCUCUUACUGCAGUCGGUUACUAUUAAGGGAUUCAAGACCCUUUUUAACCUAUGAAAAUUGUGUCUUAAUGCAGGAGGAGCACAAAAUCCUUGAGAAAACCAAUCGCCAAAAGGUCUUAGAGAUUGAAAAGCUAAGCCAAACUAUUCAAGAACUCGAGGAGGCGAUUUUGGCUGGAGGGGCUGCUGCUAACUCUGUCCGGGACUAUCAGAGACAAAUUUCGCAACUUAAUGUGAUGUUCCAUUCCAUGCUUACAUGCUGAUCAUAAUCUUUUCUACAUGAACUAUGGUCAUAUGUUGUUCAUAUAGGUAUUAACUGUAAUGAGUCAAUUAAUUCAGGAAGAAAAGAGGACGCUCGAGAGGGAGCUUGCACGAGUUAAAGUCUCGGCCAACCGUGUAGCGACCGUGGUGGCCAAUGAGUGGAAGGAUGAGAAUGACAAGGUAAUGCCUGUCAAGCAAUGGCUGGAAGACAGAAGGCUGCUGCAGGUAAUUCUUGGAAAUUCUCAGCGUAUUUAGGGCUACUUUAGCAUUGCUAUUGUGGUUUAAAAGUGCUUUUGAACUGUGAAAAGCAGUACUAAACAGUAAACAUACCCUUAAUAAGCUAACAAAUGCAAGUGAAUGGAGAAAAAUUUCCUCUUCACUGUAACUGCAACUUAAAACAAUGCAUGAUCAUAAAUAUAAGGAUUAUGAACCAGACAACUGCUACCCUCAAACAUAAUUCUUUUAUGUUUUAUUUGGAACUAAAUUUCUGUAUUUAUAGGCAGAGAUGCAAAGAUUGAAGGACAAACUAGCUGUGUCAGAGAGAAUAGCAAAGGCAGAAGCACAACUUAAGGUCAAAUUUGACAGUUUAAAUUAAAUUUGACUUAAAUAUUAAUGCAGACAGUAUUUUCUCAAGCUCAAUGUAAAUAUGGUCCAGGAGAAACUCAAGCUAAGGCUCAAAAUAUUGGAAGAUGGCUUAAAACAUGCAUCAAGUUUGUCAGUUAAUGCAUCUUAUGGGUCCCCAAAACCAGACAAGUCCAGCAAUAUAUUAGGGCUUUUAACAGGCAGCAGUGGACCAAGGAAGAGGUGUACCUCUCAACCAAGGGCUUCUACCAUCAGUGCCACUCUACUGCAGCGGCCAAGUGUAGAAACUGAAACAGCCAAUACCAGAAUAAGACAAGGUAGCAGCUUGAGAAGAAGGCCUGUAUCAGAAGAAAAUAUGGUGAGAAAAAAUUUGUGGGCGUCUAGGUGUAAGGUUGCUGAUAGUAGUGAAAAGGAAAAUGCAGAAAAUAAGGUCAAUGAACAGACUGAAAAGAAAAACAAUGAAGAGAAUGAAAACAGAGGGAAUGCUGAAGAUAUGGUUUCAGGGUUUUUGUAUGAUAAGCUUCAGAAAGAGGUCAUUAAUCUAAGGAAGUUUUGUGAGGCUAAGGAUAAUAGCUUGAAUGCUAAAGAUGAAGAAAUAAAGGUGAAGCGUUUGUAAUUGUUUCCUUCUUUAUGUACGUAUGUAUGUAUGUAUGUGUUACUGAAAGAUGUAAUUGUUUUACAGAUGCUGAUGAAAAAGGUUGUAGCAUUCUCAAGAGCCAUGGAAAUGGAGUCUAAACGAGUGAAGAAGGAAACACAACUUGUUAAAGAAAAGAAGAAUGGAUCACCCAAAAUGGAGGAUACCAAAAAGGUGAAAAACAAUAACUGUAGAAGGUCU
This 2788-nucleotide long non-coding RNA is filed under the name Gossypium barbadense (sea-island cotton). RNAcentral's name for it is "long non-coding RNA (GBAR_LNC017366)". The record is from RNAcentral. Lineage: Eukaryota; Viridiplantae; Streptophyta; Magnoliopsida; Malvales; Malvaceae.